RNAcentral lists this ribosomal RNA (476 nucleotides) under Salmonella enterica. RNAcentral's name for it is "bacterial SSU rRNA". It matches the Rfam family "Bacterial small subunit ribosomal RNA", at positions 1 to 473 of the family's 1533-position model. Lineage: Bacteria; Pseudomonadati; Pseudomonadota; Gammaproteobacteria; Enterobacterales; Enterobacteriaceae. The record is from RNAcentral.
AAAUUGAAGAGUUUGAUCAUGGCUCAGAUUGAACGCUGGCGGCAGGCCUAACACAUGCAAGUCGAACGGUAACAGGAAGCAGCUUGCUGCUUCGCUGACGAGUGGCGGACGGGUGAGUAAUGUCUGGGAAACUGCCUGAUGGAGGGGGAUAACUACUGGAAACGGUGGCUAAUACCGCAUAACGUCGCAAGACCAAAGAGGGGGACCUUCGGGCCUCUUGCCAUCAGAUGUGCCCAGAUGGGAUUAGCUUGUUGGUGAGGUAACGGCUCACCAAGGCGACGAUCCCUAGCUGGUCUGAGAGGAUGACCAGCCACACUGGAACUGAGACACGGUCCAGACUCCUACGGGAGGCAGCAGUGGGGAAUAUUGCACAAUGGGCGCAAGCCUGAUGCAGCCAUGCCGCGUGUAUGAAGAAGGCCUUCGGGUUGUAAAGUACUUUCAGCGGGGAGGAAGGGGAUAAGGUUAAUAACCUUGUU